Molecule: long non-coding RNA, 470 nt
Organism: Bos taurus (domestic cattle)
Lineage: Eukaryota; Metazoa; Chordata; Mammalia; Artiodactyla; Bovidae
Source: Ensembl
CAUAACAUACCUCCAUGGGACAGAGAUAGCAAUUGAUCAUAAGUUUGCAGAAAUCCUAGAAGACAGAAACUAAUUAGGAUCAGACUGAAGGUGCAAACAGAGAAGUGAAAAGCUACAGUCUAAAACGUCAUAGCAGGUGGAUUCUUAACCACUGGACCACCAGGGAAACCCAGGACUGCUACAGACCACAAAUACAAUUAUCGACUCUUGGAAAUCUCAUCUACAGAGGAACCUGGUGGGCUGCAGUCCAUGGGUCACAAAGAGUCAGACAUGACUUAGUGACUCAGCAACAACAAAGGUGUCCAAGUAGAAUGCUAUUACAUACAAUUCAAUAAACUUGGAUCUAAAAACAUGAUAUAUUUUAAUCCGCAGAUAUAAAAGAGUACCUGCAUUUUAUAAUAUUUUAUAGAUAAUUUCUAAAUUAAAUGAUAAGUAAGAUGAUUGAGUAAAGAAGACGCACAGAAUUAUAA